UGCCUGAUGGGGCUUGUGUAACCAAGG
Molecule: non-coding RNA, 27 nt
Filed under: Homo sapiens (human)
Lineage: Eukaryota; Metazoa; Chordata; Mammalia; Primates; Hominidae
Source: RNAcentral